CUUGGAAAACUUUGCGUUUGCUGCCAAGAAAAGGCCUUGCCCACUCAACUAAAUUUUGUUCUCUGUAUAGGCUUGCUUUUGUCUAUGGCUCGCCUGCCAGAUAAAAUUUCAAGAAGAACAACCCCGAAACUGUAUGUGUCACUCUUUGCAGUUAGAUGACCUGUGGCUAUAUACUCUGGUGCGGCAUACCCAUAGGUACCCAUUACUCGCGUCGAAACAUGGCUCUUACUACCAGUUGGCCCAUACUUGGCCAACCAAAAAUCGGAGAGUUUGGCAUUAUAGUUUGAAUCAAGAAGAAUAUUAGAAGCCUUAAGGUUUCGAUGUAUCACUUUGGCCUCAUCACUAUGGAGAAAUGAUAGACCCUUAGCAGCAUCAAGGGAAAUCUUAAUUCGGAGGUUCCAAGAGAGCGGUUGACCAUGAGAUCUUCUAAAGAGGUGAUUCUCCAAGCUGCCCCUUGGCAUGAACUCAUAAACCAGAAGCCGAUGGUCAUCUUCUAAGCAGUAUCCGAUCAAUUUCACAAUAUUUGGAUGAUGAAGCUGCUCGAGAAAGAAGAUUUCCGUCAGCCAUUCCUGAUGACCCCAGACGCCCUCUUGGUUAAGCCUCCUCACAGCAAUGGCCAUGCCGGUUGGAGGCCUGACAGGUGUUAGAGAAUGCUCAUCAAUCCAUCCUUUGUAAACACA
This 680-nucleotide unclassified non-coding RNA is filed under the name Hevea brasiliensis (rubber tree). Lineage: Eukaryota; Viridiplantae; Streptophyta; Magnoliopsida; Malpighiales; Euphorbiaceae. The record is from RNAcentral.